UACGAGAGGCGCAAAUGUUAUUCGGAAUUACUGGGCUUAAAGAGUUCGUAGGCGGCGCAGAAAGUAGGGUGUGAAAGCCCUCGGCUCAACCGAGGAAUUGCGCUCUAAACUACUGUGCUUGAGGGACCUAGAGGUGAGCGGAACUGAUGGUGGAGCGGUGAAAUGCGUUGAUAUCAUCAGGAACACCGGAGGCGAAGGCGGCUCACUGGGGGUCUUCUGACGCUGAGGAACGAAAGCCAGGGGAGCGAACGGG
Molecule: ribosomal RNA, 253 nt
Filed under: uncultured bacterium
Lineage: Bacteria
Description: partial 16S ribosomal RNA
Rfam family: Bacterial small subunit ribosomal RNA
Source: RNAcentral